Molecule: long non-coding RNA, 1000 nt
Organism: Lathyrus oleraceus (garden pea)
Lineage: Eukaryota; Viridiplantae; Streptophyta; Magnoliopsida; Fabales; Fabaceae
Exons: 4
Source: RefSeq, a predicted model, not a curated record
GUUGAAUGGAGAGAGUCCGUGUACAACCUUCACGUAAGCUCAAAUUGGACAGGGGAAAAGCACUUAUUCAGAGAAGCUCUUGUGACGCGUUUGGAUUCUUGGAUUCCGGCGCCUUCAACCACUGCGUUCACGAGGAUUUAGCACAAGCCGGGAGAAACGAUCAACUCCAACACAACAAUGCGUUAUCCUUCUCACAGAAUUGACUUCAACGAUUAUUACGAUUCAAGGAUUCAAGAACUCGCGGUGUUAAGCAAUCCACCAUGGUUUGCGAUGUUCGAUCUUUAUUGAUAGUUCAGAUACUCGAAGAUCCGCGAUUCAUCUCACUCCAUUAUCGUAUGUGCGGAUGGAAGAAAAACCACAUCGAAAUCGGAUCGGAAAAACUUACCAGAUUAAAGCUCCAAUUACAAUUAGCUUCUCACCAAUUCCGUUACGAGUUGCGAGCUUCUACGGAUUUUGUUGAAGGUUCUUGGUGGAUGAUGAAGGCCUCGCUCGCAUCUCCGCUUUGAGAUGAAGACGAAGACGUAAUACCGGUAUUGCCGAUCGAAAUGAAGAAGAAGUCUCUUGGAUCGAUCUUUGGCGGUUCGGUUGUGAUGAUGAUAAAUUAAUGUGGAAGAAUUGAAGAGUGAAGAUUGGAAGCGGUUGAAGGUUUCGGUGAACGGAGAUUACGGUUACGGUUACGGAUUCGUAGUGGUUGAAGGCUUGGCUAUGGAGUUUUGGAGUUUUUGAUGAAGGUGAUUGUGAAUUGAAAAAAAACGGUGACGGUUACGGUGGUUGAAGGUUUUGGUUGAAGGAUUGGAAGAGUUUGUGAUGAAGUUUGGAAGAAGAAGAUUGGGAGAGAGGAAGAAAUGAGAUUGAGUCUGUUAUGUGGAAAAAUCUGGAAGUGUAGUGAGGUAUGGAAUUGCAUUCCCAGCUUGGCUUGUGCACUUUUUCUUAUGUUGGCUCGCUCGGAGCAGCUUUUUGCUUGUGUAUUUUGCAGGUUUUUUGUAUCGGCUUAUGCGGC